Molecule: unclassified non-coding RNA, 375 nt
Filed under: Hevea brasiliensis (rubber tree)
Lineage: Eukaryota; Viridiplantae; Streptophyta; Magnoliopsida; Malpighiales; Euphorbiaceae
Source: RNAcentral
CAGACUGCAUACAAGUUAUCUCCUACAGAUCCACAGAUUCGACGCACACAACCACCCUUUUCUUUCAUUCGCAAGUCCCAUAUUGUCAGCUGGCAACCUUCUGCAACUGCUAAUACAGAAUUUCCACCACCUAAGUCCAAAUUUUGCAUGAACAUAAGUGAAGAUGGAUGCCACAAUGGACGUAAGGUGCGGACAUGAAUAUCUUGGUCAUAGACAUCAAUGGUUUUAGAGAAACUGUGAGCCACAGCUGCCUGAGGGAAAAGGCCAGAAAUACUGAAAUUCAGGCAGAAGGCAAGAAAUAUGCCACAAAUGAAACACUUACACUUUCCAAGACACGCGCGCGCGCAGAGAGGAUGUUAAAAAGGGAAAAAAAUG